AAGAUCUUAUGUUAAAAAAACAAAUAGCCUUCAAAGCUAUUAUUAUAAGAUAACCCUUAUAGGUCUUA
Molecule: transfer RNA, 68 nt
Filed under: Caenis pycnacantha
Lineage: Eukaryota; Metazoa; Arthropoda; Insecta; Ephemeroptera; Caenidae
Description: tRNA-Trp
Source: RNAcentral